CUGCCCUGGAACUCCUCUGGCCUUCUCUUCCCAAUUACUCUCAUUUAAGACACAGUGGCUCUCUUUUGCUCUUUGAAACACUUUCUGUGAAAGAUUGUUUUUCUAAGUAUCCCCCAGGGCAAGUUACAGGUUGAUUUAAAGGCAUAUGAUUAAGAAGAACACAGUCCAGAAGAAAGUCUAGUUAUGUGCAGUGUCGGAAGCGAAUCAGGGCAGAAGUCAUUUAAUCUGUUUGAUGACAUCAUGAUAUAAGUGGAACAAAUCAACAAGAAAUUCAUCCCUUUGUAAGACUGGUGUGAUGAAUCAUGCUCUGGAGAUAAAAAGAUUCUUGUGUACUGCUGUUCCACUUCGUCCUGUGUUGCCUAAACCAUAGCCAUCAGUAGGUCUCUCAUGCUGCAGUGUGA
This 401-nucleotide long non-coding RNA is filed under the name Anser brachyrhynchus (Pink-footed goose). Its description in RNAcentral is "lncRNA (ENSABRG00000001780.1)". The record is from RNAcentral. Lineage: Eukaryota; Metazoa; Chordata; Aves; Anseriformes; Anatidae.